Molecule: long non-coding RNA, 892 nt
Organism: Dunckerocampus dactyliophorus (ringed pipefish)
Lineage: Eukaryota; Metazoa; Chordata; Actinopteri; Syngnathiformes; Syngnathidae
Exons: 3
Source: RefSeq, a predicted model, not a curated record
GAAAAGGAGGGAAUUGUGAGUGGGUAUGAGUUGGUUCAGCCUUAACUGCUAGUUGGGUGACGGCGGGAGAUGAUGAUAAAAGUUCUGUUAUUUUGUCAACAAAACAUGGAAAAUACAAAGUCUAAGCCAUCAGGUGCACAAUUUAGAAAGAAGAGGAAAUAAGAAGAAGAGGAGAAACGGGACAAAGAUAAAAGCAUACGGACAAUGAGGCCAUUGCCUCCUUGGAGCAAACUGUGUGAUGGGACUCUGUCAUCAAGAAGGAGUGGGCUGAGUUCAGAGAAGAGCUGGAAGACAAUGGUGUCCUGAUUGAAGUUGGGCGUGCAGCAGGAGCCGGGACAACUGGACACACCUGCACCUACUCAGGCUGCGUAUAGGGACAGCUGUGAGAUGCCGGUUCCUUCCCUUACACUCCAGCCAGCUUGCUCAUCACUCACUAGCCUCUUCUGCACUUCUGGGUUACUCCAGUUGUCCCUGUCCUCCUUACUUGGGUUUUUUUGUGUUUGUGACCUUUUUUCCCUGGGGCGCCACUUGCGGACAGCAGCGCCUUUAGUUCACUUUUUUCUGGCUGCCUCUGUUUAGUGUUGCCAUUAAAGACUGUCCCUCCUGCUGCUGCAUUGCGUGGUCCACCACAUGCACACUGUAUCACAAGCUUCUGUCGAAUUUUAAGGUCCUUAAAAACCAGCAUCUGAAGUAAGUGUGAAGACGUUUGUGUUGUUUGACUUUGAAGAUUACAACACUUGCUCCCUGUAAAUGGAGGCUGCUGUAUUUGUCAUGAAACUGCUAUAGGUGGCAAUGAUCUGCCUUGUUAUGUGGGUGGAACUUACUGCAAAGUUUUUUAACACAUUUACACAUUGAUUUGUGGCUAGGAAGAUUUUACGUUGAACACACAAUA